Acanthosepion pharaonis is the source of this 90-nucleotide non-coding RNA. The record is from the annotation of a GenBank genome assembly. Lineage: Eukaryota; Metazoa; Mollusca; Cephalopoda; Sepiida; Sepiidae.
AAAUACCAAUUCCCGCUUGAUCACCGAAGUUAAGCAACGUUGAAUCUGGUCAGUACUUUGAUUAGUGACCGUUCGGGAAUAACAGGUGCU